Molecule: ribosomal RNA, 468 nt
Filed under: uncultured bacterium
Lineage: Bacteria
Description: partial 16S ribosomal RNA
Rfam family: Bacterial small subunit ribosomal RNA
Source: RNAcentral
GACGAACGCUGGCGGCGUGCUUAACACAUGCAAGUCGAACGGAAAGGCCCUGCUUUUGUGGGGUGCUCGAGUGGCGAACGGGUGAGUAACACGUGAGUAACCUGCCCUUGACUUUGGGAUAACUUCAGGAAACUGGGGCUACUACCGGAUAGGAGCUCCUGCUGCAUGGUGGGGGUUGGAAAGUUUCGGCGGUUGGGGAUGGACUCGCGGCUUAUCAGCUUGUUGGUGGGGUAGUGGCUUACCAAGGCUUUGACGGGUAGCCGGCCUGAGAGGGUGACCGGCCACAUUGGGACUGAGAUACGGCCCAGACUCCUACGGGAGGCAGCAGUGGGGAAUAUUGCACAAUGGGCGGAAGCGUGAUGCAGCAACGCCGCGUGCGGGAUGACGGCCUUCGGGUUGUAAACCGCUUUCGCCUGUGACGAAGCGUGAGUGACGGUAAUGGGUAAAGAAGCACCGGCUAACUACGUG